AACGAACGCUGGCGGCAUGCAUAACACAUGCAAGUCGAACGAUGCCUUCGGGCAUAGUGGCGCACGGGUGCGUAACGCGUGGGAAUCUGCCUUUCGGUUCGGAAUAACUCAGGGAAACUUGAGCUAAUACCGGAUAACGUCGCAAGACCAAAGAUUUAUCACCGAAAGAUGAGCCCGCGUAGGAUUAGCUAGUUGGUGAGGUAAAGGCUCACCAAGGCGACGAUCCUUAGCUGGUCUGAGAGGAUGAUCAGCCACACUGGGACUGAGACACGGCCCAGACUCCUACGGGGGGCAGCAGUGGGGAAUAUUGGACAAUGGGCGAAAGCCUGAUCCAGCAAUGCCGCGUGAGUGAUGAAGGCCUUAGGGUUGUAAAGCUCUUUUACCCGGGAAGAUAAUGACGGUACCGGGAGAAUAAGCCCCGGCUAACUCCGUG
RNAcentral lists this ribosomal RNA (433 nucleotides) under uncultured bacterium. Its description in RNAcentral is "partial 16S ribosomal RNA". It matches the Rfam family "Bacterial small subunit ribosomal RNA", at positions 29 to 507 of the family's 1533-position model. The record is from RNAcentral.